Long non-coding RNA from Rosa rugosa (rugosa rose), 405 nucleotides. RefSeq lists it as uncharacterized. The transcript is spliced from 3 exons. NCBI's taxonomy places the organism in Eukaryota, Viridiplantae, Streptophyta, Magnoliopsida, Rosales, Rosaceae. The record is from RefSeq and is a predicted model, not a curated record.
UGCUUCCGUGCUAGUAUUCAAUCUGCUAGUUCUGAAUUUUGAUUCCAUCAAGAGGAAUGACGCCACUGGGCAACCUGCUACUGCAACUACUGGAGGAAACUUAAUAUUCCUAUGGCUGAGGUCGUCUAUAAGACGCCCUAUACGUUAGAUGAUGGAGCAGUUACACUUGGAUCAAAGAAGACCACUAUCUCUGUGAUUGAUCCGAUGAUUGAGGGAUAAUCAUAAAUACACUUCAUCUGGUGGAGAGGAGCAGGGUGUUCUGUACCCUAGUAUUAUUAAAGGCAUUAAGCAAUGGAUCGAUCAAGCCUGUUCCAACGAAUCCAAAUGCUGCUAAGCCGCUACUAUAUGUCACGGUGCUACUAAUAAGCCUCAGGAACUAGAUGACACGGUUCUUAGGAGAUUGGU